Long non-coding RNA from Lagenorhynchus albirostris (white-beaked dolphin), 2900 nucleotides. RefSeq lists it as uncharacterized. The transcript has 8 exons. Lineage: Eukaryota; Metazoa; Chordata; Mammalia; Artiodactyla; Delphinidae. The record is from RefSeq and is a predicted model, not a curated record.
AUCUGUAGGCUGCAUCUGGGUGAGGAUUUUUUUUUUUUUUUUUUUUUUGCCGUACGUGGGCCGCUCACUGUUGUGGCCUCUCCCGUUGCGGAGCACAGGCUCCGGACGCGCAGGCUCAGCGGCCAUGGCUCACGGGCCCAGCCGCUCCGCGGCAUGUGGGGUCUUCCCGGACCAGGGCACGAACCGGUGUCCCCUGCCUCGGCAGGCGGACUCCCAACCACUGCGCCACCAGGGAAGCCCCUGGCUGAGGUUUUGACCUCUGGUCUUGUUUAGGGAGAUUGGCUCCGGGGACAAUGGCUCUGAGGGGCACAUUCUAGUCCCAGCCUUUCUUGGGUCAUGCCUGGCUCUGGCUCUGUCACCUCUGCAGUUGUCUUGGGGUUGUGCCUUUGUUUCUGUUGUGUGUACAUGCCGUUUGUGUGUGCACAUGUGCGAGGUGUUGUGUGUGUAAAUUUCUCUGUGCACGCGCAUCUCUGUUUCUGUAUUUUUCUGUGUGUGUGUCUGUGUGUGUUUGUGGUGUACUGUCGUUUGAAGACUCUCAUUAUGUUUUUGUGUAGCUGUUUCUCUGUGGGUUUCUAUUUGUGUCUAUGCAAUUGUGUCCAUCUGUGCUUUGGUGUAUCUCUGUAUUGGUGCCUGUCUACGGGUUUGCAUCUAAAUGAUUUGUGUGAUGUCUUUCUGCUUCUUUUUUGCAUGUCAAUUUAUGCAUGGCUUUGUGUUUCUUCACAGAGAGGGGUUGGGAGAGAGGAGUUACCCUCUCUCUUGCAGAGAGACUUGUUCAGCCUUGUGGUGAGGAAACAAGAGGCACUGGUCCCAGCCUCGUGAAGGAGUCACGCUGCCUGGCUGUAUGUUCUUGGGCAAGUUGCUUCACCUCACCGUGCCUCAGUUUUCUCAUCUCUUAAGUAGGGAUAAUAACGUUACCUGCUUUAUAGGGUUGUUGCGAGGAUUCAUGAGUUAAUCCGUGUAAAGUUUUCAGUAGAAGACCUCUAAGUAGUAUGUGUUCUGUAAAUGUUAACUGUUGAUGAUAAUAAUGCAUGGUGCUCAUGUGUUUAUAUAGUAAGUAUAUAAUAAGUGUUUAAGCAGUAGCUAUUUUAAUGUUAUAUAGUAAGUGCUUAAGCAGUAGCUAUUUUAAUGUUACGAUCUCUCAUAUAAUCUCUCUUUCCUCACCUUGUCCUCUGAAAGGCACCAGGCUCUGACUUGAGCCACGAUUGACGGAGGCCCGAUGCUCCAUGAAAGUUGAGUGCUGGAGAUGUAGUAGAAGGUUGCCUAGCAACAGAGGUGUUAGGGUAGAUGGGAGCAAAUCCCUCAGUGGUUCCUGAGAGGAGGAAUGUGGGCAGGAUUGGACCUAUUUGAGGCAAAAUGGGAGGAGACUGACACGGGCCACCCUGAGAGUCAGACUGAGGAAUUUCUCAGUCCUGCUCCCAGAGCUUCUGGACAUAUUCCAUGUCUUUCUUUUCUCUUCUGCUUCUCACCUUCUCUUCCUUCUUCUCCUUUUCCUCCUUCCCUCUUCCUCCUCCUCCUUCCUCUUCUUUUACUGUGACUAUUAUUACUGAUAAUAAUAACAGCUAACCUUUUGAAGUGCCUCAUCGGUGCCAGGCACUGUCCUAAGCGUUCUGCAUGAACACACGUAAGCCUCACAACCCUAGGAGAUGCUCCUACUACUAUUCCACCUGACAGAUGAGGAAAUACCAAGAAGCCAGCUGGGAUUCUGGGGUGGAUAUUUCUCCCUGAGAAGAACACAGACGGCAAGGAGGGAUGCUCUUUUCUGCUCGAAUGUGCUUGUGCCAGGGCAAGAUGCUUGGAGAUGCCCCAGCUAUGAUAAGGUGCCAAUUUCCUUCCAGCAUUCCAGCAUUCCUCGCCAGACUCUCUGUCUCCCUGGAGGAGCCCCGAGAUGGUACCAUAAGAGCAAAAGCUGGAAAGUGGAAGACGUGAAAGAUUAGAAGAUGCAAGAGAAAAGGCCACGUGAGGACACAGUGAGAAAGCACUCAUCUGCAAACCAGAAAGCGAGCUAUCACGAGAAACCAACCUACCAGCACCUUGAUCUUGGAUUUCUAGCUUCCAGAAUUAUGGGAAAUACAUUUCUGUUGUUUAAGCUACCUUUUGGUUAUCGUGAAUAACGCUGCUAUGAACACAGGAUAUAUUACAUUUAUACAAUGUGUCUCCUCUCGACUGCAACAAUUUCUCAGACCCUCCUUGUUUUGAAUGACCUUGACCAUGUUGAGGAUUACCGGUCAGGUCCCUCAGUUGAGUAGUCACUUUAGAGUGUGUGGGCUGAAAAAACAAUGCGCAACGUGGGAACUGUGAGUCAAGUUUUAUUUGGGGCAAAAUGAGGACUGUAGCCCUGGAGAUAGCAUUUCAGAGAGCUCUGAGAAACUGCUCCGAAGAGGCGGGGGGAAGAGCAUGGGUGCCAUGGGGGUUCAGCUGAAGCUUUUUAAUCAUCAUUCUCUGGAGGCAAUCUCAUUCAACUGGAGGCAAGCCCUCUGGCGUUUCCUCGUGUUACCGCGUCCAAGCUUGUUCUGCUCCACGCACGACAGGCCAAUAAAUCGGGAGGUGUUGGAACAAGGAAUAACAACUUUAUUUGGAAUCUUUAACUGUGGUUCCAGCGACGGAUACAGAAAAGACUCAGCUGUUUCUGUGCCUUGACCGGAGGCAGUGAACCGACAGCUGCAAAACAACCAAAAUAAAGUGACCUUCUGAGGAAUGAACGAGCACUUGGUGCGCUGUGGGUUCCAGUCUCUCUUCGACAUAGGAAUGUGGUGAGGAUGUUUUCGCACUUCAAGCUUCAAGGGGGAAAAGCUUCAACUGAGCCACUCAGAGCACUAGUAUGGGGGGAGGGGCACGACCCAGAGAAGAAUGGGCUCUCGCUCACGUUUGGAACAUCUCAAGGGCUCAGGACUGUGCUGACA